AACGAACGCUGGCGGCGUGGAUUAGGCAUGCAAGUCGAACGAACUGUUUAGCUUUUUCGAACAGUGAGUGGCGAAAGGGUGAGUAACGCGUGGGCAACCUGCCCUAAGGUGGGGGAUAACCUGUCGAAAGACGGGCUAAUACCGCUUAAGCUUCCAGACUGAAAUGUUUGGAAGGAUAGAUGGGGGAUCUCUUCGGAGACCUGUCGCCUUUGGAUGGGCCCGCGUCCUAUCAGCUAGUUGGUGAGGUAAUGGCUCACCAAGGCUAAGACGGGUAGCUGGUCUGAGAGGAUGGUCAGCCACACUGGGACUGAGACACUGCCCAGACACCUACGGUGGCUGCAGUCGAGAAUCUUCCGCAAUGGGGGCAACCCUGACGGAGCGACGCCGCGUGUAGGAUGAAGGUCUUCGGAUUGUAAACUACUGUCAGCAGGGAAGAAUAGGCGCUUGG
Molecule: ribosomal RNA, 448 nt
Filed under: uncultured bacterium
Lineage: Bacteria
Description: bacterial SSU rRNA
Rfam family: Bacterial small subunit ribosomal RNA
Source: RNAcentral